AACUUUUUGAGCAAUAGGUGGAUUAGUCGAGGUCUCCCGAGAAGAUUCAAAACCAGAAACCUUCGGAGGGAAAAGAGGGGAGGGUUCAUUUUCACCAACUUCUUCUUUGACUUCAACUUUGUUGCUUCCAUUAGAGGCAGAACUUCUUUCCUCUCUCUUUAUCCUCUUAGAGAUUACUUCAUCAUCAGGUUCUUCUGAAGUUGAGCUUUCAGCUGCACUUAUGGAGAUCUCCACAUGAGCAUUGAUUUCACGUGACCCAUUUGGUUCACAGGUCAUAUCAAAUUCUUUCCUUUUGUCAAAAUGAAGGCAUCCAUGGAAUGCAUCAAAUUCAGGAAAGAAA
Molecule: unclassified non-coding RNA, 340 nt
Filed under: Hevea brasiliensis (rubber tree)
Lineage: Eukaryota; Viridiplantae; Streptophyta; Magnoliopsida; Malpighiales; Euphorbiaceae
Source: RNAcentral